UGGUGGGUAGUUUGACUGGGGCGGUCUCCUCCCAAAGCGUAACGGAGGAGCACGAAGGUUAGCUAAUCCUGGUCGGACAUCAGGAGGUUAGUGCAAUGGCAUAAGCUAGCUUGACUGCGAGCGUGACGGCGCGAGCAGGUGCGAAAGCAGGUCAUAGUGAUCCGGUGGUUCUGAAUGGAAGGGCCAUCGCUCAACGGAUAAAAGGUACUCCGGGGAUAACAGGCUGAUACCGCCCAAGAGUUCAUAUCGACGGCGGUGUUUGGCACCUCGAUGUCGGCUCAUCACAUCCUGGGGCUGAAGUAGGUCCCAAGGGUAUGGCUGUUCGCCAUUUAAAGUGGUACGCGAGCUGGGUUUAGAACGUCGUGAGACAGUUCGGUCCCUAUCUGCCGUGGGCGCUGGAGAAUUGAGGGGGGCUGCUCCUAGUACGAGAGGACCGGAGUGGACGCAUCACUGGUGUUCGGGUUGUCAUGCCAAUGGCACUGCCCGGUAGCUAAAUGCGGAAGAGAUAAGUGCUGAAAGCAUCUAAGCACGAAACUUGCCCCGAGAU
RNAcentral lists this ribosomal RNA (547 nucleotides) under Klebsiella pneumoniae. Its description in RNAcentral is "partial 23S ribosomal RNA". It matches the Rfam family "Bacterial large subunit ribosomal RNA", at positions 2259 to 2805 of the family's 2925-position model. RNAcentral also lists the same sequence under 1 other name. Lineage: Bacteria; Pseudomonadati; Pseudomonadota; Gammaproteobacteria; Enterobacterales; Enterobacteriaceae. The record is from RNAcentral.